Molecule: ribosomal RNA, 904 nt
Filed under: Cladophialophora brasiliensis
Lineage: Eukaryota; Fungi; Ascomycota; Eurotiomycetes; Chaetothyriales; Herpotrichiellaceae
Description: Fonsecaea brasiliensis LSU rRNA
Rfam family: Eukaryotic large subunit ribosomal RNA
Source: RNAcentral
UAGCAUAUCAAUAAGCGCAGGAAAAGAAACCAACAGGGAUUGCCUCAGUAACGGCGAGUGAAGCGGCAACAGCUCAAAUUUGAAAUCUGGCCUCUCGGGGUCCGAGUUGUAAUUUGUAGAGGAUGUUUCGGGUACCGCCUCGGUUUAAAUUUCUUGGAACAGAAUGUCAAAGAGGGUGAGAAUCCCGUCUUGGACCGGCGGUAGGGCCUAUGUGAAACUCCUUCGACGAGUCGAGUUGUUUGGGAAUGCAGCUCAAAAUGGGUGGUAAAUUUCAUCUAAAGCUAAAUAUUGGCCAGAGACCGAUAGCGCACAAGUAGAGUGAUCGAAAGAUGAAAAGCACUUUGAAAAGAGAGUUAAACAGUAUGUGAAAUUGUUGAAAGGGAAGCGCUUGCAACCAGACUUGAGCGCGGCGGUUCCCCCUUGCUUCUGCUUGGGUUACUCCGCCGUGUCCAGGCCAACAUCGGUUCUGGGGGUCGGUCAAAGGCCUUGGGAAUGUAUCUACCUACGGGUAGACUUAUAGACCAGGGUGUCAUGCGACCUCCCGGGACCGAGGAACGCGCUUCGGCUCGGAUGUUGGCGUAAUGGUUGUCAGCGACCCGUCUUGAAACACGGACCAAGGAGUCUAACAUCUAUGCGAGUGUUUGGGUGUCAAACCCGGAACGCGAAAUGAAAGUGAACGGAGGUAGGAAGCUUCGGCUGCACUAUCGACCGAUCCUGAAGUUUACGGAUGGAUUUGAGUAAGAGCAUAGCUGUUGGGACCCGAAAGAUGGUGAACUAUGCCUGAAUAGGGUGAAGCCAGAGGAAACUCUGGUGGAGGCUCGCAGCGGUUCUGACGUGCAAAUCGAUCGUCAAAUUUGGGUAUAGGGGCGAAAGACUAAUCGAACCAUCUGGUAGCUGGGUCUGC